UACGUUUUUGCAGUCUUGAGAGCAUGCAAUGCACGGUAUGACUCAUGAGGGUUCCAAGAAGAGAUGGAGGAGGCUGGACCUGGUCGAUUUGCAGAGCGGCCCAUCAUACGUCACCAAGCGCAGGACACCCCAACCCACCUGGCAGCCUUGAUCCUCCAAGCAGUCUACGGAGAACAAGAUAUGGCUUUCAUUUUGCUUUUCAUUAACUGAGCUUAGGAUAAGUUAUUUUGUGUGCUUUUCUCAUUGAAGUAAUUUGUGUCUCUUUAUGUCAAGGUUUCUGGAUUCCGUGCCCCAUGACCAGGUAUGUCCAUGACAAGUUCAGGGUCUUUCAACAUGCCGUGGGACUGGUCAUCGCCAUCAACAACUUGACCAACAGCUGGAGCGUCAACGAGGCGGGAGCAAACGUCAAGCAUUUGCGGCACACAGUCUGCAACCUCUGGACUUAUGUGGCUAUUUUGAACUUUCCUCCACUUCUCACCAUGAAGGCUCUGAUGUGAAGCAGCAGAUCACAUCCCAACAGGAAACUAAAGUGUCUCAAGUCAAAGAGCUUCA
This is a long non-coding RNA of Girardinichthys multiradiatus, 552 nucleotides long. RefSeq lists it as uncharacterized. The transcript is spliced from 3 exons. NCBI's taxonomy places the organism in Eukaryota, Metazoa, Chordata, Actinopteri, Cyprinodontiformes, Goodeidae. The record is from RefSeq and is a predicted model, not a curated record.